CCUUGCCUCUCACGCGGCGUUAUCUCACUGAACUCCCCCAGGGCCGGAAGGCAGCAAGGGUAGGCGGGCUCUGACGGGUGCGUGAGGGGCACCUUGC
RNAcentral lists this signal recognition particle RNA (97 nucleotides) under Streptomyces coryli. Its description in RNAcentral is "Bacterial small signal recognition particle RNA". It matches the Rfam family "Bacterial small signal recognition particle RNA". From Rfam's summary of the family: The signal recognition particle (SRP) is a universally conserved ribonucleoprotein involved in the co-translational targeting of proteins to membranes. Archaeal SRP consists of a 7S RNA and homologues of the eukaryotic SRP19 and SRP54 proteins. Lineage: Bacteria; Bacillati; Actinomycetota; Actinomycetes; Kitasatosporales; Streptomycetaceae. The record is from Rfam by way of RNAcentral.